AUCCCCAUUGGGUUGUCAAAUGUCACACUCUCCGUCGCCACCAUCCACCGCCAUAGCCACAGCCACCGCUGACAUUAGCCCACUGAAUAGUGAGAUGGACAUAAGUGGGUGAUUGAGUUGAUGAUCAUAUAACUAUAAGGGGACCAACUAAGCUUUUUUACGCUAUUUGCUCAAGAUAACAAUGUCAGGCUUCAGUGCAGCUUUUCUUUAUCUGCUAGUACUGGUAUCGGGCUCCUGUCUGGUGGCGGAAUCAGCAAUAGGAGUCAACUGGGGUACAUUAUCUUUCCGAAAGCUGAAGCCUUCAACGGUGGUGGAUCUGUUGAAAGACAACAAAAUAGAGAAGGUGAAGCUGUUUGAUGCAGAUCCAGAUGUGCUUAGAGCUUUAAUGGGUAGUGGUAUUCAAGUUAUGGUUGGGAUCCCAAAUGAAAUGUUGGCUGCUAUUAGCUCUUCAACUGCUGUUUCUGAUUUGUGGGUUCGCCAGAAUGUUUCCAGAUAUGUGGUUAAGGAUGGCGUUGAUAUCAGGUAUGUAGCUGUAGGAAAUGAACCAUUCCUUUCUAGUUAUUCUGGUCAAUUUCAAUCCUAUGUUGUCCCUGCCCUACAAAACUUACAGCAGUCUUUGGCUAAAGCAAAUCUUUCUGGCUAUGUGAAGCUAGUGGUGCCGUGCAAUGCUGAUGCCUAUGAAUCCUCCCUUCCUUCUCAGGGGGCAUUCCGAUCUGAUUUAACAGAAAUUAUGACUCAACUUGUUUCCUUCCUCAACUCAAAUGGCUCUCCUUUUGUUGUCAAUAUUUACCCUUUUCUUAGCCUCUAUGGGAGCACGGAUUUUCCGCAAGAUUAUGCAUUCUUUGAAGGGACUGCCCAUUCUGUUACAGAUGGGCCUAAUGUUUACUACAAUGCGUUUGAUGGGAAUUUUGAUACUUUAGUUUCCGCCCUCAACAAACUUGGAUAUGGUCAGAUGCCUAUAGUUAUUGGGGAGGUGGGUUGGCCAACCGAUGGAGCCAUCAGUGCUAACCUCACUGCUGCAAGAGUUUUCAACCAGGGACUCAUAGAUCAUGUUUUAAGUAAGCAAGGAACCCCACUUAGGCCAGGUGCACCCCCCAUGGAUAUCUAUCUUUUCAGUCUACUUGAUGAAGGAGCAAAGAGCACACUUCCUGGAAAUUUUGAAAGGCACUGGGGGGUUUUUUCCUUUGAUGGCCAGGCAAAAUAUCCAUUGAACCUUGGUUUGGGCAACAAGUUAUUGAAGAAUGCCAAGAAUGUCGAGUAUCUCCCAUCUAGGUGGUGUGUGGCUGAUCCAACUAAAGAUCUGUCUGGUGUGACCAACCACAUGAGAAUUGCUUGUAAUUUUGCAGAUUGUACAACACUCAACUAUGGAGGAUCAUGCAAUGGAAUUGGGGCAAAAGGAAAUAUCUCUUUUGCUUUCAACAGUUACUACCAGCUUCAAGAUCAAAAUGCACAAAGCUGUGAUUUUGAUGGUCUGGGUAUGGUUACAUUCCUAGAUCCAUCAGUUGGCGAUUGCAGGUUUCUUGUUGGUGUCACUGAUACUGGUUCUUCAGGUUUUGGAACGGGUCCUAGGUGGAUUAUCAUUUGGAUUUUGAUAAUUGGGGGGAUGUGGGUCUUUCUAAUAUGAAAAAGAAGUUUCCUUGAGUGGGUUUUUCAAGUUUCCUUGAGUGGGUUUUUCCAUGUCCCUCUUUAGAAACUACUGAACAUAGCAGGGAAGAUUUUAUUUGGUGGGCUACAUGAGAACUCCAUAGUUUCUUAGCAACAAUUAUCCCCGCAGCACACCUUGCCACAACGGAGGUUUGGAACCCUCCCGACGAAAAAGCAGCAACGACAACCUUCAAAAUAACAAGCCACUAGUACUCUGUAAGUAAUAAAGAUGCAAAACUAAAUGAACCCAGAAGCCAUAAAAUGGCCUUUACCUUGGGGAUGAACCAUAUGCUCAAAAGUCUGCAGGCGAGGGCCUGCUGUUGCAUUUGCACACAUGACAAUGGAUGCCACAACUAGAAGCCAUGUCAAAGCAAUCACCAAGGUUGCUUUCUUCACCAUUUCUCUGUCUGGACAAACUUUGAGAAUGGAAGCGAAGGGAUGACAACCCUGUCGGAGCUAUCCUACUUAUACUUGAGUCUGAGAUUGGCAGUGAUAAGCAAGCGUGAUGACUUGAAAUUCCUACACCUCAGAGUAUGGGCGUUCAUGAUCAACUUCUCGAGGCCAACUUGCUCUUUAUGUUGGCAUGUACUGCUAGUUUGUAGCAACUACAGCUGCCAUUUCUGACUUGGUUUAUCCAUUUUCAAGCCUAUCAUUAGAGUCACCUACCAACUUCAGGAUUUAAUUCUCUAGUAAUUCUAUAAGAGAAUUCAUGUGUCGGAAGGUUUAAGAAUCUUAAUCUUGUUUUUAAUGAUCUUUUACAGAGAGAAUUUAAUAUGGGUCUCUCCUUACAAGACAAAAUACUUCUGUUUUUAUUGAACAAGUUGGGCAUCAUCCCUUUGAAUGUGACACUAAACUGCAAGUUUUUUUUGUUUUA
Molecule: RNA transcript, 2518 nt
Organism: Manihot esculenta (cassava)
Lineage: Eukaryota; Viridiplantae; Streptophyta; Magnoliopsida; Malpighiales; Euphorbiaceae
Gene name: glucan endo-1,3-beta-glucosidase 5
Exons: 3
Source: RefSeq, a predicted model, not a curated record